GAUAAAGAACGUAGCGAAAUGCGAUAAGUAAUGUGAAUUGCAGAAUUCAGUGAAUCAUCGAAUCUUUGAACGCACCUUGCACCCUUUGGCAUUCUGAAGGGUAUGCUCGUUUGAGUGUCAUUGUACUCUCACACUCCCGAUCUUUGCAUUGGGAGCAGUGGACUUGGGUUUGCUGCUUCACCGUCGCUUACCUCAAAUAGGUUAGUGCAACUCUUGGUUGGACAUAGUACGGCGUGAUAAGUGUUCUUCGCCGGUGCCUCGCAAAGAGGGUGGCCGAUCGGGAUGUUGUGCUCCAAACCGUCUUCGGACAAUCUCUGACGACUUGACCUCAAAUCGAGUAAGACUACCCGCUGAACUUAAGCAUAUCAAUAAGCGGAGA
RNAcentral lists this unclassified non-coding RNA (379 nucleotides) under soil metagenome. Its description in RNAcentral is "partial contains 5.8S ribosomal RNA, internal transcribed spacer 2, and large subunit ribosomal RNA". The stretch from base 1 to 120 matches the Rfam family "5.8S ribosomal RNA", at positions 35 to 154 of the family's 154-position model. The record is from RNAcentral.